This is a long non-coding RNA of Eriocheir sinensis (Chinese mitten crab), 2227 nucleotides long. RefSeq lists it as uncharacterized. The record is from RefSeq and is a predicted model, not a curated record. Lineage: Eukaryota; Metazoa; Arthropoda; Malacostraca; Decapoda; Varunidae. The transcript is spliced from 2 exons.
UACCUCUUAAGAGCUUACAAAUCAUUAUUGUAGGUGAGUUGCACUACUUAGCUGAAGGUCUUAACACAAAUCGUGUUCUUGCAACAUGUUUGUUGUAAAGUUUGUAGACGUGCCGCGUGAGGGUUACUAAACAAUUUUGUUUUGUCACAAACUAAAACUAUCCAAGCUGCAAUGUUGUAGGUCUAGGCAGCCAAAACAAUGACAAAAAAGGCCCCAUGAGCAUAGCUCAUGUCCUGUAUAUCACAACCUGAUAAAUACACACACACACACACACACACACACACACACACACACACACACAUUCACACACACAUUCACACACACAUACACACACAUACAUACACACACAUACACACCACUCCAUAGCUCAGUCACACUGCUCCGUAGCUCAGUGGUUAAAGUUCUACGCUGUCAGGGUUUGCAGCCUGGGAGGCGGAGGUUUAAGCCCUGCUCAGGCCGGGAUUUUUCCGCUAGCAAGGGGUGGCUACUGUCCCUCCUUGAGCAAGAGGGAUGGGAUGAGUGGUGUGUGAAGAUCGCAGCAUUACCUUGAGAUCGACAAAAAUGAGCCUGCUCCUGUCAGGAGGGUAUUUGCUGGCGAUUGCAAGUCCAACUUGUGACCAGGCCAUGGUAGUGGUGGUGGUGAAUUAUACAUACAGAAAACUGUUGAGAGUUAUUGGUGAGGCCUUUUUAGAAGAUUAGGUUCUGGUAAAAACUUAUAAAUGAUAUCAGGGAAAAAACGAUGAAGAUCUGGAAGAAGCUCGUGAUCUUUUAUCCAUCAACUGUACCUGACCUUGUUUGAUGAGUAAUGAGAAGUCAUUGUUUUACUAGUCACAAAUUUUCACAGGAAAAUCAGAUUCAAGGUGUGCAGCUGCCACUUUGUAGAUAAUUUUCUGAAACUUAAUCAGUGAAAAUUAUGUAAAACUCUGUCUGUUUUGAAAUCCUUGAUAUAUACUUACAUGUGUUGGCUUUGUUCUUCUACGAGCAGUUCUCCAUUCCAACUCUGUUCAGGCACAGGAUCCAAGGUCUUUCUGCUCUGCUUCAUAUCUUUAAUCUGAAAAAUGUAUCCAAUCAGUUUACUAUUAUUUUGUUGUGUCGAAUAAUAGUCCAGGUGUACAGACGUUAGUGCAUGUUGUACUUAUUUGUUCAUGUCACAAAAUCGUCUAAGGUCAGGACAAGUUUAUGAAAGGAAGCAUGCAUGUGUUUUUAUAAGUGAAAUGAGAACACUGAUCACACAAUACACACACAGAAGAGUUGGUAUAACAGACUUCUCUUCCUUCAGGCUCAGACAGAAUGCAUUUUGGGUGGUGAUGGUGAUGAUGAUGAUGGUGAUGAUUGGGAGGAUAGUGUGUGGUGGUGGUGGUAGUGGGUUAUGAGUGUGAUGAGGGAUGAGACUGGUAUAGCCACUGCCCGUUCUUGAAGUUGCUGGUUGUGUGACAUUAUUUAUUUGUCACUGAUAGAAAGGAUGAACCAGGGCAUGAAAAUAACAGACUGGUGUAUUGGCACUUGAAGAAGAGGGGAGAUGGUGAGAAGUUGGGGAGAGCUGUGAAGAGGAGGGGAGAUGGUGAGACAUAGGGAAAAGCUGUGAAGAGGAGAUGGUGAGGCAUUGGGAAGAGCUGUUUGGGUGGAAAUGCCAGAUCGCCACCCACCAGGCAGGCCAAAGAAAACAUGGAGGUAGUGCACUGGAGAGGAUUUGACAGCAUUGGGCAUUGGGGAGGCUGAGGCAAUGAACAUAAAUAGCUGGAAGCAUAUCUGACAUUAAACAGAAGAUGAUGAUGGUGGUGUUCAAUUUGGUGCUGUCCUUGAUAAAUAGUGAAGGAGGUGAAGAUGAGGGGAUGACUUGGCACCUUGAUGACUGUGGUGUGUGACAAUGGGGAGUGACGGAUGGAUGAUGAUGGUGAUGAGGAGUGAUGGAUGAUGAUAAUUAUGACUGGUAUGUGAUGAGGGUGAUGACUGACAUAUUAAAGCACCAGUAACCUCACCAAAGACGAAAUAGUGACCCAUGUUGUUGACCCAAUCCACUGUGACCUUCUCUCCCCCUCAGAGAAGUAGUCAGUCAUCUCGCUGGCUUCACUCACCAAUGAAAAAAAUAUUGAAGUUGUUAAUUGUUAGUGUGGUAGCAGCAGCAGCAGCAGCAGCCUUUGCAUAAACUAAUACUAUAUGAAGACAAACUUGUCAUAUUUCUGCUAUUUUUCUAGAUACUUCAUGUUUAAAGAAAAGAAAACAAUGA